AGAGUUUGAUCCUGGCUCAGAGCGAACGUUAGCGGCAGGCCUAACACAUGCAAGUCGCACGAGAAUUGGUCUUCGGACCAUAGUAAAGUGGCGGACGGGUGAGUAACACGUGGAUAAUCUGCCCUUCGGCGGGGGACAACAGUCCGAAAGGAUUGCUAAUACCGCAUACGUCGGCGAGGUCUUCGGAUCUUGCCGGGAAA
Molecule: ribosomal RNA, 200 nt
Filed under: uncultured bacterium
Lineage: Bacteria
Description: partial 16S ribosomal RNA
Rfam family: Bacterial small subunit ribosomal RNA
Source: RNAcentral